GAUGAACGCUGGCGGCGUGCCUAACACAUGCAAGUCGAACGAAACACCUUAUUUCUUUUUCUUCUGAACUUAGCGUUUGGCGGUUGAGUGACGCAUGGGUGAGUUACGUGUGAGUAACCUGCCCUUUCCAGGGGCCUAACCUUCUGAAAUGACUGCUAAUCCCGCAUAUGACCCCAGCACCACAUGCUGCCUUGGUAACACCUCCGGUGGUACAGGAUGGACCCUCGCUUGUUUAUCUGGUUGGUGAGUUACCGGCCCACCAAGGCGACGAUCAGUAGCCGGGAUGAGAGAGUGAACGGAGACAUUGGGGCGGGGACGCGGCCCAAAAUCCUACGGGAGGGAGCAGUGGGGGAUAUUGCACAAUGGGGGAAACCAUGAUGCAGCGACGAUGGGUGAGUGAAGAAGUAUUGCGGUAUGUAAUGCUCUAUUAGCAGGGAAGAAAAUGACGGUACCUGACUAAGAAGCCACGGCUAACUACGUG
Molecule: ribosomal RNA, 481 nt
Filed under: uncultured bacterium
Lineage: Bacteria
Description: partial 16S ribosomal RNA
Rfam family: Bacterial small subunit ribosomal RNA
Source: RNAcentral